GACGAACGCUGGCGGCGUGCUUAACACAUGCAAGUCGAACGGAAAGGCCCUGCUUUUGUGGGGUGCUCGAGUGGCGAACGGGUGAGUAACACGUGAGUAACCUGCCCUUGACUUUGGGAUAACUUCAGGAAACUGGGGCUAAUACCGGAUAGGAUCUCCUGCUGCAUGGUGGGGGGUGGAAAGUUUCGGCGGUUGGGGUUGGACGCGCGGCUUACCAGCUUGUUGGUGGGGUAGUGGCUUACCAAGGCUUGGACGGGUAGCCGGCCUGAGAGGGUGGCCGGCCACAUUGCGACUGAGAGACGGCCCAGACUCCUACGGGAGGCAGCAGUGGGGAAUCUUGCACAAUGGGCGGAAGCCUGAUGCAGCAGCGCCGCGUGCGGGAUGACGGCCUUCGGGUUGUAAACCGCUUUCGCCUGUGACGAAGCGUGAGUGACGGUAAUGGGUAAAGAAGCACCGGCUAACUACGUG
RNAcentral lists this ribosomal RNA (468 nucleotides) under uncultured bacterium. RNAcentral describes it as "partial 16S ribosomal RNA". It matches the Rfam family "Bacterial small subunit ribosomal RNA", at positions 28 to 507 of the family's 1533-position model. The record is from RNAcentral.